RNAcentral lists this ribosomal RNA (940 nucleotides) under Cortinarius sp. PDD 72806. Its description in RNAcentral is "LSU rRNA". It matches the Rfam family "Eukaryotic large subunit ribosomal RNA", at positions 37 to 961 of the family's 3401-position model. Lineage: Eukaryota; Fungi; Basidiomycota; Agaricomycetes; Agaricales; Cortinariaceae. The record is from RNAcentral.
AGCAUAUCAAUAAGCGGAGGAAAAGAAACUAACAAGGAUUCCCCUAGUAACUGCGAGUGAAGCGGGAAAAGCUCAAAUUUAAAAUCUGGCGGUCUUUGGCUGUCCGAGUUGUAAUCUAGAGAAGUGUUAUCCGCGUUGGACCGUGUACAAGUCUCCUGGAAUGGAGCGUCAUAGAGGGUGAGAAUCCCGUCUUUGACACGGACUGCCAGGGCUUUGUGAUGCGCUCUCAAAGAGUCGAGUUGUUUGGGAAUGCAGCUCAAAAUGGGUGGUAAAUUCCAUCUAAAGCUAAAUAUUGGCGAGAGACCGAUAGCGAACAAGUACCGUGAGGGAAAGAUGAAAAGAACUUUGGAAAGAGAGUUAAACAGUACGUGAAAUUGCUGAAAGGGAAACGCUUGAAGUCAGUCGCGUUGACCAGGGAUCAACCUUGCUUUUGCUUGGUGCACUUUCUGGUUAACGGGUCAGCAUCAAUUUUGACCAUUGGAAAAAGGUCAGGGGAAUGUGGCAUCUUCAGAUGUGUUUAUAGCCCUUGGUUGCAUACAAUGGUUGGGAUUGAGGAACUCAGCACGCCGAAAGGCCGGGUUUUUAAACCACGUACGUGCUUAGGAUGCUGGCAUAAUGGCUUUAAUCGACCCGUCUUGAAACACGGACCAAGGAGUCUAACAUGCCUGCGAGUGUUUGGGUGGAAAACCCGAGCGCGCAAUGAAAGUGAAAGUUGAGAUCCCUGUCGUGGGGAGCAUCGACGCCCGGACCAGACCUUUUGUGACGGUUCCGCGGUAGAGCAUGUAUGUUGGGACCCGAAAGAUGGUGAACUAUGCCUGAAUAGGGUGAAGCCAGAGGAAACUCUGGUGGAGGCUCGUAGCGAUUCUGACGUGCAAAUCGAUCGUCAAAUUUGGGUAUAGGGGCGAAAGACUAAUCGAACCAUCUAGUAGCUGGUUCCUGC